AUGGCUGUCGUCAGCUCGUGUCGUGAGAUGUCGGGUUAAGUCCCUUAACGAGCGAAACCCUUAUCUUUAGUUGCCAGCGCGUAAUGGCGGGGACUCUAAAGAGACUGCCGGUGUUAAACCGGAGGAAGGUGGGGAUGACGUCAAGUCAUCAUGCCCCUUAUGUCCAGGGCUUCACGCAUGCUACAAUGGCUGGUACAGAGAGUGGCGAGCCUGUGAGGGUGAGCGAAUCUCGGAAAGCCGGUCUCAGUUCGGAUUGGGGUCUGCAACUCGACCUCAUGAAGUCGGAGUCGCUAGUAAUCGCAGAUCAGCAACGCUGCGGUGAAUACGUUCCCGGGGCUUGUACACACCGCCCGUGGGGCGGGGGCGGCGGGCCGGGCGCGGGGCGCGGCGGGCG
Molecule: ribosomal RNA, 394 nt
Filed under: uncultured bacterium
Lineage: Bacteria
Description: bacterial SSU rRNA
Rfam family: Bacterial small subunit ribosomal RNA
Source: RNAcentral